Long non-coding RNA from Cherax quadricarinatus, 301 nucleotides. RefSeq lists it as uncharacterized. NCBI's taxonomy places the organism in Eukaryota, Metazoa, Arthropoda, Malacostraca, Decapoda, Parastacidae. The record is from RefSeq and is a predicted model, not a curated record.
GCGUUUCCUAUCCAUCCUGAUGGUGUUGGCUGUGGUGGUGGCCGUCGCCUAUGGUGGUUAUAUCCGUAGAUAUGGAGGGUUUGGCGGAGGAUUCGGUGGAUUGGGUCUAGGCCAUGGUGGAUUUGGUGGCGGGUUUGGUGGAUUUGGUGGCGGCCUUGGUGGAUUUGGUGGCGGCCUUGGUGGAUUUGGUAGAUACGGUGGUCUGUAUGGUUAGUGAUAUUAGCAGCACGUCUUCUGACGGACUCCUGGCCACGCUUAUAUCCCCUUGUUGAAUACUAGAAAUAAAUAAUUCAGAAAAUAA